RNAcentral lists this ribosomal RNA (326 nucleotides) under uncultured eukaryote. RNAcentral's name for it is "partial 18S ribosomal RNA". It matches the Rfam family "Eukaryotic small subunit ribosomal RNA", at positions 1470 to 1796 of the family's 1831-position model. The record is from RNAcentral.
CCCUUAGAUGUUCUGGGCCGCACGCGCGCUACACUGAAGGGAUCAGCGUGUUUUCCCUUCCCGAGAGGGACGGGUAACCCGCUGAACCCCCUUCGUGGUAGGGAUCGGAGCUCGCAAUUGUUCUCCGUGAACCAGGAAUUCCCAGUAAGCGCAAGUCAUAAGCUUGCGUUGAUUACGUCCCUGCCCUUUGUACACACCGCCCGUCGCUACUACCGAUUGAACGUUUUAGUGAGGUAUUUGGACUGGGCCUUGGGAGGUUUCGGCCUCCCUUGUUGCUCGGAAAGACUCCCAAACUUGAGCGUUUAGAGGAAGUAAAAGUCGUAACA